CCAUCCAACCCAUCCCCCCAUCUCUCGCGCGCAGAGCAUCAACAACUGUAUGCACAGCACAGAAACGCAUACACACAUACAUGCACUAAGGCAUGCACGCACCUUUAAUCCUGCGCAAUUCUCAUCGUUGCUCUUCAGCUGAACCCUCCUUCCCCCGCCCCAGCCAGCUGUCCUCUCCUUGUACGUGUGUGGUGUGGUGUGGUGGUGUGUGUGUGUGUGUGUGUGAGGGGCCGAGCGGAGGACUUCGUUGGUGUAUAUGUUGCUUGUUGCUGCCUCAUCCAUUUUCUCGUUGUGUUUCUCCUCUUCACCGCCACCCACCGCCCACCGUCUUCUGCAGCGUCACGAAUUCGAGGAGCGAAGCACCGCUCCGAAAGGAGGCGACGUAAGCGGAGGAAGAGGCAGCGAGAGCUUCUUGAGAGACGCAUACGCGUGUCUGCGUGCGUGCGGGCAUUUAUCCACGUGACGGCUCCGGUCUCAUCCCUCCUGCUGCGUGGCUCUACUUUUCAGGCGCGCAGCACAAGCGACGCCCAUUGUGGAACGACGAAAGAAAAACGAUACAUUCACACAGCUGUAUAUAUAAAGGCGGUAGGGACUACACUAAAGGCGCAGGCCCGCCUUGUCUCUCCGUCCAUCCACCACCUCAGCGAAGCACAUGCUUGUCCAUGGUAGUAGGCUUUAGCCUUGCCCCUCGUCCUUGUUGUGGCCAACGCAUGCACGCACGCGCACAGGCACGUCACGAUAAGCGUGUGUGUUUGUGUGUGCAUCCACCCUCUCUAUCCCGUCUUUGCAUCUUCUUCAUCUCUUCCUGCUUCUGUCUUGCCGUCUGCAG
Molecule: unclassified non-coding RNA, 829 nt
Filed under: Leishmania donovani
Lineage: Eukaryota; Euglenozoa; Kinetoplastea; Trypanosomatida; Trypanosomatidae
Description: gene:unknown
Source: RNAcentral